CAGGCCAGGAGGAGGAACACGACUAAAAUAAAUCAUAGCAACAUAAUAAAUCUCUGCAUUUCCAUCAUCUAUGGUUCACUAGACGCAUCUUACUGCUCAUAAUGAGGAUCAUUUCUUUCUCCAACGGCGCUGCUUCACUAGCAGACGCAGAGAGGAAACAUGAAGCGGGCCGACAGCUGCUGGUGUCAGUGCUGCUGCAGCAGCGGCGUUUACCGCUGCAGCUGCAGCAGCAGACAGGUUGGACCGGUGAGCGAGGCAGCGGCGCAUGCAGGACAGAACGUGACACGCUGAUGGCUUUUCUAAACGAUGAACUGAUGACAGCUUUACUUUGAUACCAGAUGAAUGAGAACGCAAGUGAAACAGUCCAACAACAGGCUUCAUGGAAACGUCACAGUAAACAAACCAACCAGGAAAGCAGCAGGAAGAAAGUUCAAGAUGUUCAGACAUAAAUAUAAUAAUUACCUGGAUGAGUAAUGAAAAUAUUAGCAACAACAUGUGGGCUGCUUCCUGCCAGGUCCAAAACAACCAGGCGGUUCUGAACUCUAACAAAAAAAUACUACAAAGAAAAGAAACAAUUAUUGAGACGCCAAAAUAAUAAACAUCAGGAUGUUCAGCAGUAAAAAGAGACGUAGGAGGUUUGAAACACGACGAGACGAGACGCCAA
Long non-coding RNA from Poecilia reticulata (guppy), 664 nucleotides. RefSeq lists it as uncharacterized. NCBI's taxonomy places the organism in Eukaryota, Metazoa, Chordata, Actinopteri, Cyprinodontiformes, Poeciliidae. The record is from RefSeq and is a predicted model, not a curated record.